RNAcentral lists this ribosomal RNA (467 nucleotides) under uncultured bacterium. RNAcentral describes it as "partial 16S ribosomal RNA". It matches the Rfam family "Bacterial small subunit ribosomal RNA", at positions 28 to 507 of the family's 1533-position model. The record is from RNAcentral.
GACGAACGCUGGCGGCGUGCUUAACACAUGCAAGUCGAACGGAAAGGCCUCUUUCGGGGGGUACUCGAGUGGCGAACGGGUGAGUAACACGUGAGUAACCUGCCCUUGACUUUGGGAUAACUUCAGGAGACUGGGGCUAAUACCGGAUAGGAGCUCCUGCUGCAUGGUGGGGGUUGGAAAGUUUCGGCGGUUGGGGAUGGACUCGCGGCUUAUCAGCUUGUUGGUGGGGUAGUGGCUUACCAAGGCUUUGACGGGUAGCCGGCCUGAGAGGGUGACCGGCCACAUUGGGACUGAGAUACGGCCCAGACUCCUACGGGAGGCAGCAGUGGGGAAGAUUGCACAAUGGGUGGAAGCCUGAUGCAGCAACGCCGUGUGCGGGAUGACGGCCUUCGGGUUGUAAACCGCUUUCGCUCAUGACGAAGCUUUGUGUGACGGUAGUGGGUAAAGAAGCACCGGCUAACUACGUG